RNAcentral lists this long non-coding RNA (286 nucleotides) under Phoenix dactylifera (date palm). RNAcentral describes it as "long non-coding RNA (PDAC_LNC011553)". Lineage: Eukaryota; Viridiplantae; Streptophyta; Magnoliopsida; Arecales; Arecaceae. The record is from RNAcentral.
GAGCCUAGGUUUGUCUAGUGGCUCACAUAGGUAUUUGUAGAUCAGCUUAGGAAAGUUAAUUGGGGUAUCUUGGAGAAUAUAGUACAUUAGGGCUAGGUCCCUCUCGGAUACAAAGUCAAAGCGGCCGGUCUUGAGAAAGAGGGUCCUAGAUAUAAUACUCAGGAGGAGCCGCAUUUCAACUGAAAGCUGACUAGCGGACACCUCAUCUAGUGGGGAUUGGGGUGGACUCCCUAAUAUGGCCGUAAGGGCCUCAGUCCUAUCGGCCGGGUGAGUGGGAAACACCCCU